UGAUCCAAUCUCCAUUGCUCAAUCAAAUUGAGCCAAUAAUAAUCAAAUUAUUAAUUAAUUAUUCUUUUAAUUUAUGAAUCAUUAGUAAAUAAUUUAUUACAAUCUUUGCAUAGGAUUAAUCAUCAAUCACAUUGGUAAUUAGACCCUUUAAUGAUUCAUAAUCGUUGGUCAGCCAUUUGAUCAAACAGAUACUUCUAUGUGUGUGACCCC
RNAcentral lists this long non-coding RNA (210 nucleotides) under Elaeis guineensis (African oil palm). Its description in RNAcentral is "long non-coding RNA (EGUI_LNC040037)". Lineage: Eukaryota; Viridiplantae; Streptophyta; Magnoliopsida; Arecales; Arecaceae. The record is from RNAcentral.